Populus euphratica (Euphrates poplar) is the source of this 444-nucleotide long non-coding RNA. RefSeq lists it as uncharacterized. The transcript has 3 exons. NCBI's taxonomy places the organism in Eukaryota, Viridiplantae, Streptophyta, Magnoliopsida, Malpighiales, Salicaceae. The record is from RefSeq and is a predicted model, not a curated record.
AUCUGCCACUGAUCUCCUACCAUGAUGAACUCCUUUCACAGUUGAAGAAGAUAUGCAUUGAACCAGAACCAAAGAGAGCAUUGAAAUCAGUCUCCUGGAAAGCUAAAGCACAAGCAUCUUAUCAAUUUCUGUCUCAGUUGCACAAAAAAAUUCAAGUUAAAAGUCCACAAAAGAUUAGGUGCAUGAGGUGUUGCUGCAGUUGUAGAAUUGCUAAAUGGUUGAUGCAAACGGUUAUGCCUUUGCUGUUUUUUCCCUGGUUUCUUAACUUGUAACGUAUCAUAUAUUGAGCACUUUCUUUGUAUUUGAAGUUGUAGGCUAAUUGGUUAUGUUUGAGAUGUUUUUAAUACCUAUUGUUGUACCUUUUACAAGCUGUAAUUGUAGGUUUCAUGUUGACUUCUAUAACCUAGUUUGAAUGGCUGGAAAACCUUGUGUUCAGUUUGCUUU